UUCCCGAGAUCGCAUCGCUGCAGGUUUUGCCUGCUUGGGCUGUUGAGUAAAAGUGGCAGGAGAAUUCAUGAGCGGCAUGUGAUGAACCAUAAAUAAUGAGCAGUCUCCCAGGAAAGCAUCAGGGGACCACAGAGGAGAACUCUGGCCUGGCAGCUGGUGAGAUCACCCGGCAACUCGUGCCCAGGGACCCCCUGCCUGACUGUGGCUAAGCCACCGUGGUCUGCUUCAAUAUCCCACCCUCAGAGCGGAAGGAGGAGCCGUGCAAGAUGUGUUAGCAGUCCCCAACCCAAAGGUUUCUUGGUGUGUGCAUCACCCUUUGCAUCCUCUGGGGAUUAAAAGAUGGGACAGGCUGCUCAGCAAAGCGGUGGGACCGCAGAGGCAGACGGUGAGGGCGUUAUUGCGGGUCUGUUUUGCAGAUCUCGGGGAUCUAGUAGGGAAAUCUGUGAGGGCAAAGGGGUGCCUGGGAUGAAAGGCAGGACACCCUAAAAGACAGCAUCCAAAAUAACAGCACGCUUGCUUGCUCCUCCCAGGUGCUGGAGGGCCAAGGAUGUCUGCGCUGGGGCUGGGGAACGCAGAGGCGUGGGGCUGCCCUAAAGUGGGAGGCACUUUUCUGGAAGCUUAUCCGGAACUUUUAAAGGAUUUUUUGGGUUUUUUUCAGCUUCAAAACCUGUACAUUCUAAAGCGAAAUUCCUCACGUUGUUAGCAUCACUUUCAACCAGCAGCAAUCAUUAGAUCCUGAGCCUGUUGCCAGCGGCAGCACCAGUGAUUUACCUUGUUUGCUGCAAGGCUAAAGGAUGAGACAGUUUCUCCCUUUGCUGAGCUUCCCACAUUGCCUCCUUGCUCACGAAGAAGCAAAAUUCCUUACCAAAAAUUGGGCUGCCACCACAUCAGGAGACUGCCAACAACCGCCUCCAGGUGCGGCUGUCUUGGAACGCGUUUGAAAACCCGCCCUGAAUGCAUUUCUCCUCCUCUGCAUUUUCCCCAAUACAUUCCCCCCCCCUCCAGCCCCCAGCCUGAGCUCCUGGUGCUGGUUUCCAGGGAUGGCCACCCUCUGCGACUGGCCCAGUGGCCAGCAGCAUGUCCCGUGCCAGAGCAACCUGUCCUCAUCCUGCCAAGGUGCUUCGUUUGCUGCACUCACUUUUGUUCCUCUGCUAACCCCAUCGUGCUGCUCCUAUUUUUAAUACCAAGGGCUAAAGCCGCCUCUCUGCUGCGUCUCGCAUGCGUUGCGAGCGGCACAAGGUAUUAAGCUGAGCGUGUCUGUGUUUAGCACCUGCCAGGCGGCUCCCGGCGAGGAAUCCAUCGGCUCUGCUGUGUUGCCAGCCCCAAAUGACAACGUUUUUUCUUCCUCUGUGGGAGAUGUCUUCUGAACUGGCUGAAAUGACAGCGCCAGAUUCUCCCUGUGUGACAGGAGGGCUUUUUUUUCUGUGACAGAGAUACCAGGGUGGAACAUCUGAUCACUGGAACAAACACAUCCCAAAAUAAAGGGCUUGAACAUCCUGUUUUUAAAGCUGGUCUUGCAAAAUGUUCAAAAGCUUUUCUAUUUAGCUAGCAUUUCAGUGUCCAUAAAUGGCUUAAACUUUUCCCAGCUAUUGUUAGUGGCAGUAUCUAUAACUCAGUGGCUGUGAAGAAUAAAUAAAUAGAUGAAGUAAAACACAAUGGCUCAGCUACAUUCCCUGGUGUUACGAUGGGAAAAGCUACAAGGCCCAAGAGCUCCUGUAGUUAUUUUAGGGAGAACAGGUUGCAAACAAGCCAGGAAAACUCCUUGUACUGUAGGACUUUAUCCUUCUGGGACAUGUCCUGGAAUGGAUGGGAUGCAAGACUGGGGGAGUUUAGUGUCUUCACAGCUUCAGUGUCGUGUUCUGAGCGCCCGGGUCAGGACACUGGUCCCCGCUGAAAUUGCUGGAAAAAAGGUCCAGUGCUGUGCUGGAGCGAGCAUCCCUCUGGGUUGCCGGGUCAGGAUGUUCGCAGCAUCUUGCUGACGGCAGGAUCAAAGCAGUUUUUACAGCCUUACCAGACUGAGGGGCUCCCCACGGGCAUCCCUGCCCGGAGCUCACAGGAACUGCUCUGCCUUUUGAGGUGCUCCACCUGGAGCCGUGCUGGAGAAGAGCAAUUUAUCCAUGCUUUCUCCUGAGGUUCCUUAAACAAGUAGCACACACACGUUUUAAAAAUGGUUUUAUUAGACUCUUUGAGUUGAUUUCUAGAGACCCAACCUCAGAAUAAAUCCACGUGCUCUCAAAAGCCCUGUUAACAUCUGCAGCAUGGGGCCAGGACUCCGUUUUGCCCCCCCCCCAGAGGGAAUCACCCUUGUGGCAACGAGCCCUGAGCUGGUGUGGGGUUGGAUCAGAAUUCGGGGUCAGCGCAGAAACCCCGACGGUCUCACUCCUGCCUGUGCUGGGAGCUGUCGAGGCCCACUCGUGUUAUGGCUGAUAGAGAGGAGGAGGUUGGCACCCAACGCUGUCCCAGACAGUGGAGCUAUCAGAUCCUGUCCUCACCCGCCAGGAAAGGAAAACUUGCUGUGAAAUGUUCUGCUUUGCAGCACUUUGCCUUUGAUUAAUGAAGAGCAGCCGGAGAAGGGAACUGGCCCUGUGCCAUCAUGUACCGGAGAAUUACAUCUUCCUUGGCCGGAUGAUGGGUUCCUUCUGCUUUUGAGAGAAAGAAGCCCUGUGGCCACGUCAGCCACUGCCCGUGGGCUUCUGCGUGGAGAGAGUGCCACUUGCUGUCGGGCUGGGGAGGCAAGACGUGCUCCGGCCACACGCUGAGCUCUGCUUAGUGUGGUACCCAUCCUGCUGCCACCAGGAGGAAGCCCCAGAAGGUAAAUGCUCAUUUACGCAGCCUACGGUCCCUAUUAGACCCUGCACCGAGCAGUCAGUAACACAGAGUCACGUGUGGAUUCUGCUGGGUUUUACUGACUGUGAAAGUGGGGAAUAGUCCAAACAUACCAUAAAAGAGCAGGGUCAGGCUCUUCAUUACUGUGGUGGGUUAGGAGCAUUUCCAGGGGGAGGCAUGUGUUGGGCUGGUAACAAGCUCUCCUUUGGCACAAGCAGAGCGUUGAAUGGGUGUGAAAACUGGAGGCUGAAGGCAGCAGAUGGGAGAGGUGAAAAGGAGGGUGUUUGCAGCUGUGGGUACCGGGGUGCCCGAGGCAGUGCAUGCAGGAGGAUGCUGCCAGGCUCUGCACUGUGUGGCGGGUCCCAGCCCGCCCUGGGGGGUACAGGAGCCGGAGGCUGUAGGGACAGGAGAGGAUGGCAAACCCCUCCUAACCUCAUGGAAGAGGUUGAAGUGGACGUUGAAGGAUCCUAGCAGCAGUUUUCAGGUGAUGCUGUGCAUAAGACUGACUGAACGCCAGCUGGUGGGGGUGGGUCCCGUGGACUGUUUUUCAGUCUCACCCGAGCCCUUCUCCCACCCAGAUCUCAUGUGGCGAUGCUGUGUUGAGGCCAAAUAUGACAUGACAGGAGCCAAACCAUGACAGAUGACAGGAGCUCAGGGAGCUGCAAAGGUGGAGAGUUAAAAGGCACUUGGGACUUGUUGUCCAAGCAGAUUUAUGGGACGUUGCUUUAGCCUCACCCUCUAUCUUUACUGUGGGGCACAAGUGGCCUCAAAAUUGGUCCAUUUGUUUCUUGUGGCUUCUGACGUUGGUCUGGCAGCAGAAAGGCUGGAGCAUUGGACCUUUGGCUGUGUUUUUUUCCAAAGGAUUUGGAAAACGAGUGACUAAUGUCAUGAUGAGACUAAGAGGAGGCAGGGAGGUUGGUGCAUGAGCGUGAGGGGAAAAAACAUCCCCCUUCUCCAAAUGUUUGUCCUGGCUGCGGACACGGGAACUUCAGCAUGAACACCU
This is a long non-coding RNA of Athene cunicularia (burrowing owl), 3829 nucleotides long. RefSeq lists it as uncharacterized. The transcript is spliced from 3 exons. Lineage: Eukaryota; Metazoa; Chordata; Aves; Strigiformes; Strigidae. The record is from RefSeq and is a predicted model, not a curated record.